Molecule: small nucleolar RNA, 108 nt
Organism: Rana temporaria (common frog)
Lineage: Eukaryota; Metazoa; Chordata; Amphibia; Anura; Ranidae
Product: small nucleolar RNA SNORA17
Exons: 1
Source: RefSeq, a predicted model, not a curated record
CCCGCCUCCGCAAAGAUCCAAUUUUGCAGAAUGUCCUAUUUUGUUUAGGGGAGAGCGGAGAAAAGACAGGGCGGUCCCUGCACAGUGUGCAGAGACCGCCCUGUUAUC